This 497-nucleotide ribosomal RNA is filed under the name uncultured bacterium. Its description in RNAcentral is "partial 16S ribosomal RNA". It matches the Rfam family "Bacterial small subunit ribosomal RNA", at positions 28 to 507 of the family's 1533-position model. The record is from RNAcentral.
GAUGAACGCUGGCGGCGUGCCUAAUACAUGCAAGUCGAGCGAACAGAUGAGGAGCUUGCUCCUCUGACGUUAUCGGCGGACGGGUGAGUAACACGUGGAUAACCUACCUAUAAGACUGGGAUAAAUUCGGGAAACCGGAGCUAAUACCGGAUAAUAUAUUGAACCGCAUGGUUCAAUAGUAAAAUACGAUUUUGCUGUUACUUGUAGAUGCAUCCGCGCCUCAUUAGGUAGUUGGUAAGGUAACGGCUUACCAAGACAAUGAAGCGUAGCCGACCUGAGAGGGUGAUCGGCCACACUGGAACUGAGACACGGUCCAGACUCCUACGGGAGGCAGCAGUAGGGAAUCUUCCGCAAUGGGCGAAAGCCUGACGGAGCAACGCCGCGUGAGUGAUGAAGUUCUUCGGAUCGUAAAACUCUGUUAUUAGGGAAGAACAAAUGUGUAAGUAACUAUGCACGUCUUGACGGUACCUAAUCAGAAAGCCACGGCUAACUACGUG